AGGUGUUCAUGCAGAAGUCCAGAAAGUGAAGUCGCUGUACUGUUUUAUUUUUAUUUUAAACAGAUGGAGGAUCACUAACAGGAGGAUGGGAAGACUCCAGAAUCCACUCUGACUGGAUUCUGGUGGAUACAGCAGUGUUUACAGGUAAGACCAUUUAAAUGGACAGCAUUUAUAGAGUUUAUCAUCCUCAUACUGACCCAGGGUCAGUGUAACAUACAAUCCUACCUGUGUGAACAAAGUCUGGCUCCUUUAAUCCUGCAUGACAAACCUCAGGAUGCAGGUCAGCUGGAGACUUUGAAGUUUCGUAGCAUUGGGCCUGAUGAUGGUGUGUAAAGCCUCUACUUACCUUCUACACUGUGUUUUUGUUACUAAUUUAUUCACAAGUUUUGGAUUGUUUGCUGUUGUUUAUCAGUCGGGUGUAGACAGAUUUCAGAGGAGCAAAGAGGAGCACCGUUGCUUCAUCAUUAACACUUUAAAGCAGAACUGGAUGGAAAUCAAAGGUCCUUAAAAGCUUUUUCUGCUCCCCGACCCUCAAAGCCAAACUUCACCAUGACAGCUGACGGGAUACGAUUAUUAAAAAGUGACGUUAUCAGAAACAAAGGUUCAGUAAAUAUCAAACACUUCAGUGGAUUUUCUCUCACAUAUAUUUGGUGUUUGCCCUGCGAUAAACUGUCCUGCUUUUGCCCCGUGGCAGCUGGGACAGGCUUCAACCCUGGAGUGGAAAUAUUGUAUUCCAAGUAUGUAAUCUGAUCAUUUACAAAGUCAAAGUCUCUCAUCAACAUGUAAGUAAUGAUUAUAAACAUGGGAAAGCAGACAUAAACGUGACAUAUGAGGACAGCUACAUGUAGUGUGUUUGCAGGUCUAUCAGCACAUAGAAGAGUUUGUUAAAGUCUGAUUCAGUGAACCCUGAUUGGUCCAGUCUGUCUGGAUAAAUUCAGUUAGCUGAUCUGUGACCAUUUAUUCACACAUUUUCUUAACUAAUGGUUCAGUUCAGGAUGACAGAGGGGCUGGAGCUGGAUAUGUUCAAUAAAUACACCUUACAAAGUCAACAAUAAACCUGCAUCCAUGUACGUUGUUGUCCACAGGAGGAGAAAAUCCAGAUGACCAAAGUGGAAGACUGUGGAACAUGUGAAUGCAUGUUUGUGUGUUUCUGCCUGUGUCUUUCAGAGGAGGCUGGAGGCUCUGAAAGGCUCCCCCACCAGUUCCUGCUCAAUCAAAGCAGCAAACUUGAUGCUAUAGGCUACAUUUUAUUUAAUGGUAGAAAAAUAAGGUUUCAAAUCAGUGGGUAGCAGAUGUUAUUACCCAUUUGGAGCCCACUUCUACUAUAAGAGAUUUCCUGGAGACGAUGCAGAGGGCUUAUGAAUUUAUCUUGACUAAGAGUGAAAUCUUUUUGUGCUCACAGCACUUUCAGUUCAGUUAAAUGUCAUGUAUGUAGCAGCAUUUCACAACAAGUGGUCUCAACCUGCUGUCAGAACCAGAAUCCUUUAUUCAUGAAGUCAGGACCCUGAGUGAAGAACAGGCAGAGACUCUGAUCAACAAGCAGGCAGAGCCUCACCGAGGAGCAGCCUGAGACGACCACCGAGGAGCAUCAAGCUUCUCCUCGAGGAGCAUCCAAAGAGCCUGUCAGACGAGCAGACAGAGACUGUUUUUGUUCUACAUCUUCUUCCUUUAUCUCCUCCUUCUGGUCCAUGCUCCAAGUCUUUCCAGCAGAAGAAGAGAGAAAGCUCCUCUCAACACCUUCCACCACCUGUUAAACCCACAGACCAUCUCUGCAGUCUCUUCAUCCACCUGCUGCCAUCUCCCAGUCUUUAAGUCAGGGUGGCCAACAUGAAAAUAAGAGGAGGAAGAGUAAGUUUAGUUUUGCAUCGUACGUCUUUAGAUUCUUACGUUUGUUCCUAAAUGAACGUGACUUCAGAAAAUGAUGCACAUGUUGUCCUAGAGAACUUACAAACCAGUGCACAGCAUUUUAUUCACCAGUUAUUUAGCUGUAUUUUGGUGGCCA
Long non-coding RNA from Oreochromis aureus, 2002 nucleotides. Lineage: Eukaryota; Metazoa; Chordata; Actinopteri; Cichliformes; Cichlidae. The record is from Ensembl.